GGUUGGCCACCUGUCCUGGUUUGCCUGGGGCUGAGGGCUUGCCCAGGUCACG
Molecule: microRNA precursor, 52 nt
Filed under: Myotis lucifugus (little brown bat)
Lineage: Eukaryota; Metazoa; Chordata; Mammalia; Chiroptera; Vespertilionidae
Description: miRNA (ENSMLUG00000028017.1)
Source: RNAcentral